AUCGGCCAAAGGAUCGGCCCGCGUUGGAUUAGGUAGUUGGUGGGGUAAAGCCCACCAAGGCGACGAUCUGUAGCUGGUCUGAGAGGACGACCAGCCACACUGGGACUGAGACACGGCCCAGACUCCUACGGGAGGCAGCAGUGGGGAAUUUUGGACAAUGGGCGAAAGCCUGAUCCAGCAAUGCCGCGUGCAGGAUGAAGGCCCUCGGGUUGUAAACUGCUUUUGUACGGAACGAAAGCUCUCUUCUAAUACAGGAGAGUCAUGACGGUACCGUAAGAAUAAGCACCGGCUAACUACGUG
RNAcentral lists this ribosomal RNA (300 nucleotides) under uncultured bacterium. RNAcentral's name for it is "bacterial SSU rRNA". It matches the Rfam family "Bacterial small subunit ribosomal RNA", at positions 213 to 507 of the family's 1533-position model. The record is from RNAcentral.